UCAAUAUUAUAGUGAUAUAAGGUUUUUUAGAAAGGCUGCACUAAUACUUGUAUUUCUAAUACUCACAUAAUAAUGCAAAUAGGAUUUAAAGUUGUUUACUAAAAUAGGAAACAACAUUAAAAAUAGCCAAAAUAUAUGUCCUAGUUUUCAAAUGUUCACAGGUUAAUUUCUACAAUAACUUACUGAGUUGUAUGGAAUUUACCUACCAAUGAUUCAUAACACUACUUUGAUUUAUAUGAAUAAAAUAUUCAUGAAUAUAAAUGAAAUUGAAGUUGUCAUUAAAAAAAAAAGAUUUAGUCUAAGAGUUUUACACCACAAGAAAAUAACAACUCACACUAAAAUGGGAAAUAAAAGUUAAUGAGUUUCCUAUCCUCUCCCACAAAGACAUAUCUCAGUGGCCAAAAAAUCCAAGAUUAAAUAAUUAGGCUGUUGCCUCCAUCUAAUUUUGCCAGCUAAAGAUACCCCUGUUUAUUCAGUGCUGAAAUAAAAAAAAGUAAUAUAAUGAACAUAAUUUAAAGCAAAAGAGUAGACUGCUUAUUUAAAUCAUGAAGCUUUUUCUUACUCUACUAUUUAAUGUCCAAAAAUCUUGGCAAUCUGCAGUUCUCUUCUUAAAAACUAUUUUCAUACACAUGUCACUUAAAGAAUUAUGCUACUACACGGUGACAAGUGAAGAGGAAUCUAAAGACAAGACAACCUGCAAAGGUUAGACACAAACCUAUAAAUAAUACCAAGCAUCUGUGCAACUGCUAGUGUGGAACCCAGAGGAAUUUAUGCUAAUGAAAUACUGUAAUUUAUUAAACUUGAUGACAGUUCACUGCUCUAAGAGACAUUAAACAACUGUUACAUACUAGAGACUAUAACAUUUCCUCAACGUUUACUUUAUAAUAUUACAAGUGAAACUACAUUACAACAAGGUCUCUUCUGAAUGAAUACUGCUUAAGGAGAAUUAGGGAAUACAAAAGUGAUCUGGGAGGCUGGGGAUAUGGCCUAGUGGCAAGAGUGCUUGCCUUGUAUACAUGAAGCCCU
This is a long non-coding RNA of Perognathus longimembris pacificus (Pacific pocket mouse), 1026 nucleotides long. RefSeq lists it as uncharacterized. The record is from RefSeq and is a predicted model, not a curated record. The transcript has 3 exons. NCBI's taxonomy places the organism in Eukaryota, Metazoa, Chordata, Mammalia, Rodentia, Heteromyidae.